RNAcentral lists this ribosomal RNA (383 nucleotides) under uncultured bacterium. RNAcentral's name for it is "bacterial SSU rRNA". It matches the Rfam family "Bacterial small subunit ribosomal RNA", at positions 93 to 507 of the family's 1533-position model. The record is from RNAcentral.
CAGUGGCGGACGGGUGAGUAACGCGUAGGUAUCUAUCCUCGGGUGGGGGGACAACCACGGGAAACUGUGGCUAAUACCGCAUGAUGACUGAGGUCUAAAGGCGCAAGUCGCCUGAGGAGGAGCCUGCGUCCGAUUAGCUAGUUGGUGGGGUAAAGGCCUACCCAAGGCUCCGAUCGGUAGCUGGUCUGAGAGGAUGAUCAGCCACACUGGGACUGAGACACGGCCCAGACUCCUACGGGAGGCAGCAGUGGGGAAUAUUGGACAAUGGGCGCAAGCCUGAUCCAGCAAUGCCGCGUGGAUGAAGAAGGUCUUCGGAUUGUAAAGUCCUUUUGGCGGGGACGAUGAUGACGGUACCCGCAGAAUAAGCCCCGGCUAACUUCGUG